This is a non-coding RNA of Acanthosepion pharaonis, 113 nucleotides long. Lineage: Eukaryota; Metazoa; Mollusca; Cephalopoda; Sepiida; Sepiidae. The record is from the annotation of a GenBank genome assembly.
UUAUGGCCAUAUCACGCCGAAAAAUUGGUUCUCGUAAGGUCACCGAAGUUAAGCAACAUCUAGCCUGGUCAGUAACGGGAUGGGUGACCGCUUGGGAAUACCAGAUGCUGUGA